This 2477-nucleotide long non-coding RNA is filed under the name Triticum aestivum (bread wheat). Its description in RNAcentral is "long non-coding RNA (TAES_LNC005029)". The record is from RNAcentral. Lineage: Eukaryota; Viridiplantae; Streptophyta; Magnoliopsida; Poales; Poaceae.
UUGAUUUUGAUAUCUUGAAAAUUCUCUUGCCCUCUUCUGUCUUCUAUGUUUUGAUUUUGCUACUGCAUCUUAUGUGACGACCUGACAUAUUCAGAAUUUAAAAACAGAACACCUCCCUAAAGGCAGAAUUUAAAAAUGCCAAGAAGGAAUUGAAUUUGCAUAUUCAGAGAACUAAACUUGCAGUUGUUGACCAAAAGCAACAUACAAAGAAGUAUAGUGCUAGCAUGCAUACAUAUGUACAAAAAGAUAACCACAAGAUCUACACCUAGUUGUACUACAAAUUGUUUAACUACAGUUAAAGCAGAACCCCAUCCUGAAAUCAGAAUCUAAAUUUCCAUGCAUAUACUGAAUUUGCAUAUUCAGAGAACUAAAUUUGCAGUUGUUGACCAAAAGUAACAUACAAUAAAGUAUAGUGCUAGCACGCAUACAUAUGUACAAAAAGAUAACCACAAUAUUUUGACAAUUUUCACCUAUUUGUACUACAAAAUGUUUAACUACAGUCAAGGCAGAACACCUACCUGCAGGCAUAAUCUGAAAAUUGCAUGCACAUACUGAAUUUGCACAAUCAGAAAACUAAACUUGCAGUUGUUGAUCAAAAGCAACAUAGAAAGAAGUGUAGUGCGAGCAUGCAUAGAUAUGUAUAAAAAUCACCUAGUUAUACUAGAAAAAUUGUUAAACUACAGUUAAGGCUGAACACCUCCCUGAAGCCAUAAUCUAUAAUAUCCAUGAACUGACUAAAUUUACAUAUUCAGAAAACUAAGCUUGCAGUUGUUGUUGAGUAGCAACAUAGAAGAACUAUACUAUGAGCAUGCAUACUACAGCAUCUUGACCUGCUUGUGCUAGAAAUUAUUUAACUACAAGUAAAAUCAGAACAACACUCUCAUGGCAGAAUUUUAAAUUUGCAUAUUCAGAGAACUUAACUUUCACUUGUUCUUCAACAGCAACACGCAAGAACUAUAAAUACGAGCAUGCAUACAUACUUACAGAAAUAUAACUAUCACAUCUAGGGCUAAAGAAGUUGUCAAAGUAAAAGUUUCUAGCACAUACUUGUUGAUAUGCAGUACAGCUCCCUAAAGAAGUUAUCUAUGUUGAAAUUAAAUGUGCAUAUUCAGAGAGAUAACCAUAACAAGAACAAGUCAACACAAAAAAACCCAAGAAAUAUAGAAAACAACUUCAAAAGAGAAAGGAUCGAUGUACUUGCAAAAAUCUACCUAAACCUAAUUAUUGCAUUCUCAUUACUGCAAGUAAUAAAAUGCACGAGCAUGACUAUGAGUACAACUAUAAUUACAGCAAAAGCCUAAUUCAUAAAUUCAAAGACUACAAUUAAAAAUUGCAUGUUCAUCAUAUUAAACUUGCACACAUUUUACAACAGCAAGAUUCAUAUUAGCCUUGUUGAUAUGCUGAUUUAGGUUUUAUUGGAAGCAGAUACUUUGAUAUGUACAAAAGAAUUCAAGCUAUAUGUAAUACAGAGUACCUCACUGUAUUCACGAUUAUAACUAUACUUGCAUAAUUGAUCUAUAUCAACUGGAUUUAGAUCAUGGAAAGACAAAUUAUAGUUCCAUCUAUAUAACUAAUUACAAAGACAAUCGCGACAUAGGAUGGGAAACAACACCUAAAAUACACAGGUUUCAUAUUAGCCAUGAAAAAAUGCAGUGGCUAAGUAAACACAUACACAUAGAUUGGUAUCUACAAAAUAAGUCAAACUAUAAAAGAAAUGAUUAAUACAACUCACCAUCCUCCUGAAGCAUUCCUCAUCAAGGACAACAUAAACAACUUCAGGUACUUCAUCAAAGUCGGAACGGUGGAGGACUCGAACCCAAGGCCAUUACGUUUUUCUAUAGAUGAAUGAAUUUUGGGAAGCCUAUCACCCUUCCUGAAGAUUAAAAUCGAAAUCAUAAACAUAAGUGUAGACACAAAUUUUGUUGCCGUAGCAACCACUCCUAUUACAGUAUCCAACUAUUAUAACUACGAAAAAACAUACUGCUAAUGAAUCUAGUUAUCUUAAUUGCUGAUGCACGAUAAAGAAGUUGCACAGAAUAAGUAUCAGCAACAACACCAACAUGCAGUAGCAAAACAUAUUAGAGUAUAAAAUCUUGCUGACAGACUCCACUGUUGCGUCAGCGGACAAUUGCAAUAGCCACUGUUUUGGUUGUCAUGGCUGCCAGCCAUUAGCAUUACGAUUAACUUCCACAUGAUGACACUAAUUAUAUCAAAAUUGCAUUUCUAGGAUACAGAGAUUCAAAAUCAGAAGGAACAACUACACUCGAUCAAAAAGAAUUCUAUACAAGGUAAGCAACAGUGGUAUAAAAAUAGUUGUAGAGGCAUAGGUACUUUGCAUGCCAUGGAAGCCGUUAUGCUAUCAUUGCAUCAAUUAGUACUAUGCUUUCAUGUCAUAUCAAGAUAUUAAAAAGAUAAUUGCAUAUGCAACCUACAGAAGUUGCACAACUUCAUUAUGAGCAACAACAACUUCAUGGUGG